RNAcentral lists this ribosomal RNA (500 nucleotides) under uncultured bacterium. RNAcentral describes it as "partial 16S ribosomal RNA". It matches the Rfam family "Bacterial small subunit ribosomal RNA", at positions 29 to 523 of the family's 1533-position model. The record is from RNAcentral.
AUUGAACGCUGGCGGCAUGCCUUACACAUGCAAGUCGAACGGCAGCACGGGAGCAAUCCUGGUGGCGAGUGGCGAACGGGUGAGUAAAGUAUCGGAACGUGCCCAGUCGUGGGGGAUAACGUAGCGAAAGUUACGCUAAUACCGCAUACGAUCUAUGGAUGAAAGCGGGGGAUCGCAAGACCUCGCGCGAUUGGCGCGGCCGAUGCCGGAUUAGCUCGUUGGUGGGGUAAAAGCUCACCAAGGCGACGAUCCGUAGCUGGCCUGAGAGGAUGAUCAGCCACACUGGGACUGAGACACGGCCCAGACUCCUACGGGAGGCAGCAGUGGGGAAUUUUGGACAAUGGGGGCAACCCUGAUCCAGCCAUGCCGCGUGAGUGAAGAAGGCCUUCGGGUUGUAAAGCUCUUUCGGCCGGGACGAAAUCGCAUGGGUGAAUAUCCUGUGUGGAUGACGGUACCGGAAUAAGAAGCACCGGCUAACUACGUGCCAGCAGCCGCGGUAA